CAGAUUUACCAAAGCACCAAAGAUAAGGAAGUUAAGGCAGUUCACAUCAAGCCACCUUGAGGAACGUCAUGUGAUGAUCAGGAUACAAGAAACGACGAGGGGGAGGGGGAGAAUUAUCCAACUCUAGUAUUUUACGAGUGUUCUUUUCAGGAAAUGUUUUCCAAUGAGCAAAAAUACUUUGGGAAACAUUUCUUAAGCAUUGAUAAAAAGGUCCAAAUAUUGGAUUGUGUUUUGCAUUGAAAUAUUUGAUGAAAUUUUGAAAUACCAAUAAUAAUGUCUAAGCGUUGGUUAGAACAAGUAAGUAGAAAUAUUCUCAGAGAAAAUUAGGUCCGCUCUUAAGUGAUGAUAGUCAUUUUCUAGGUUUCAAUUGGAAAGGAAUAAUAUUCUAUGACUAACAAUUUAUCACGUGGAUCGACUACGCGAAGCUCAGAUAGUGAAUCCCAACUAAUUUGGGAUCGAUUGGAUGAUUAAUGGAUUGGAAUUUGUAAAGAAGAGAAUGGAGACUUACAAGCUGACGAGAACGUAAAGCAGACAGAGAUUUGCGAGCUAAGAUGGCAGCCAUUAGAGAUGAAAAUGGGGCCUCUUCCUUCAGAACCAGAGCGAUCGAGCAAGAGCUGAAAAGCUAGUUUUGGGUUAAAACGUUGCGUUUUACUACUCUCUAAUACUGCCGCU
This 672-nucleotide long non-coding RNA is filed under the name Nicotiana tabacum (common tobacco). RNAcentral describes it as "long non-coding RNA (NTAB_LNC005840)". The record is from RNAcentral. Lineage: Eukaryota; Viridiplantae; Streptophyta; Magnoliopsida; Solanales; Solanaceae.